GCGCCCGUCGUUGGGGAGUAGCUAAUUUUCUGUUUUCAGAAAAUGUACGUGUCAACAUACUCGUUGAAAAACGUGGCGCGUACGGAUCGUUUGUAGCACGGUUUACGUGCGUCACGGUCAGGCGAGACCAUAGAUACAUCAACUGCUGUUUACUGGGGGCAGUGAUGUGUCAUAUGGAUAUCCCCGGUCU
RNAcentral lists this small RNA (190 nucleotides) under Enterobacter cancerogenus. RNAcentral describes it as "yybP-ykoY". It matches the Rfam family "Manganese Mn2+ riboswitch aptamer (yybP-ykoY)". Rfam says of the family: This RNA was originally discovered in E. coli during a large scale screen and was named SraF. The family was later found to exist upstream of related families of protein genes in many bacteria, including the the yybP and ykoK genes in B. subtilis. The record is from RNAcentral. Lineage: Bacteria; Pseudomonadati; Pseudomonadota; Gammaproteobacteria; Enterobacterales; Enterobacteriaceae.